Molecule: ribosomal RNA, 622 nt
Filed under: uncultured bacterium
Lineage: Bacteria
Description: bacterial SSU rRNA
Rfam family: Bacterial small subunit ribosomal RNA
Source: RNAcentral
CUGGCGGCGUGCCUAACACAUGCAAGUCGAACGAGAAAGUGGAGCAAUCCAUGAGUAAAGUGGCGACCGGGUGAGUAACACGUGACUAACCUACCUCCGAGUGGGGAAUAACUCCGGGAAACCGGGGCUAAUACCGCAUAACAUCGCAAGAUCAAAGCAGCAAUGCGCUUGGAGAGGGGGUCGCGGCUGAUUAGCUCGUUGGCGGGGUAACGGCCCACCAAGGCGAAGAUCGGUAUCCGGCCUGAGAGGGCGCACGGACACACUGGAACUGAAACACGGUCCAGACUCCUACGGGAGGCAGCAGUGGGGAAUUUUGCGCAAUGGGGGAAACCCUGACGCAGCAACGCCGCGUGGAGGAUGAAGCCCUUUGGGGCGUAAACUCCUUUCGACUCGGACGAUAAUGACGGUACGAGUGGAAGAAGCACCGGCUAACUCUGUGCCAGCAGCCGCGGUAAUACAGAGGGUGCGAGCGUUGUUCGGAAUUAUUGGGCGUAAAGGGCGCGUAGGCGGUGCGGUAAGUCACCUGUGAAAUCUCCUGGCUUAACUGGGAGCCUGCAGGCGAAACUACCGUGCUGGAGUGUGGGAGAGGUGCGUGGAAUUCCCGGUGUAGCGGUGAAAUGCG